This 463-nucleotide ribosomal RNA is filed under the name uncultured bacterium. RNAcentral describes it as "partial 16S ribosomal RNA". It matches the Rfam family "Bacterial small subunit ribosomal RNA", at positions 28 to 507 of the family's 1533-position model. The record is from RNAcentral.
GAUGAACGCUGGCGGCGUGCUUAACACAUGCAAGUCGAACGGAAAGGCCCAAGCUUGCUUGGGUACUCGAGUGGCGAACGGGUGAGUAACACGUGGGCGAUCUGCCCUGCACUUCGGGAUAAGCCUGGGAAACUGGGUCUAAUACCGGAUAGGACCACUCCGUAGUUGUUGUGGUGGAAAGUUUUUUCGGUGUGGGAUGAGCUCGCGGCCUAUCAGCUUGUUGGUGGGGUAAUGGCCUACCAAGGCGUCGACGGGUAGCCGGCCUGAGAGGGUGUACGGCCACAUUGGGACUGAGAUACGGACCAGACUCCUACGGGAGGCAGCAGUGGGGAAUAUUGCACAAUGGGCGGAAGCCUGAUGCAGCGACGCCGCGUGGGGGAUGACGGCCUUCGGGUUGUAAACUCCUUUCGCCAAAGACGAAUUUAGGACGGUAUUUGGAGAAGAAGCACCGGCUAACUUCGUG